ACACGUAGGAGGCGAACGUUAUCCGGAUUUACUGGGCGUAAAGCGCGUGUAGGUGGUUCUGUAAGUAGGGCGUGAAAGCUCCUGGCUCAACUGGGAGAGGCCGUUCUAAACUGCAGAGCUAGAGGAUGGUAGAGGGAGGUGGAAUUCCGGGUGUAGCGGUGGAAUGCGCAGAUAUCCGGAGGAACACCAGUGGCGAAGGCGGCCUCCUGGACCAUUCCUGACGCUUAGACGCGAAAGCUAGGGGAGC
This 247-nucleotide ribosomal RNA is filed under the name uncultured bacterium. Its description in RNAcentral is "partial 16S ribosomal RNA". It matches the Rfam family "Bacterial small subunit ribosomal RNA", at positions 523 to 769 of the family's 1533-position model. The record is from RNAcentral.